UACGGAGGGUGCAAGCGUUAACCGGAAUUACUGGGCGUAAAGCGCACGCAGGCGGUCUGUGAAGUCUGAUGUGAAAUCCCCGGGCUCAACCGGGGAGCGGCAUCGGAAACUGGCAGGCUAGAGUCUUGUAGAGGGGGGUAGAAUUCCAGGUGUAGCGGUGAAAUGCGUAGAGAUCUGGAGGAAUACCGGUGGCGAAGGCGGCCCCCUGGACAAAGACUGACGCUGAGGUGCGAAAGCGUGGGGAGCAAACAGG
This 253-nucleotide unclassified non-coding RNA is filed under the name uncultured Enterobacteriaceae bacterium. RNAcentral's name for it is "contains 16S-23S intergenic spacer region". It matches the Rfam family "Bacterial small subunit ribosomal RNA", at positions 524 to 776 of the family's 1533-position model. The record is from RNAcentral. Lineage: Bacteria; Pseudomonadati; Pseudomonadota; Gammaproteobacteria; Enterobacterales; Enterobacteriaceae.